RNAcentral lists this ribosomal RNA (497 nucleotides) under uncultured bacterium. Its description in RNAcentral is "partial 16S ribosomal RNA". It matches the Rfam family "Bacterial small subunit ribosomal RNA", at positions 28 to 507 of the family's 1533-position model. The record is from RNAcentral.
GAUGAACGCUGGCGGCGUGCCUAAUACAUGCAAGUCGAGCGAACAGACGAGGAGCUUGCUCCUCUGACGUUAGCGGCGGACGGGUGAGUAACACGUGGAUAACCUACCUAUAAGACUGGGAUAACUUCGGGAAACCGGAGCUAAUACCGGAUAAUAUGUUGAAUCGCAUGGUUCAACAGUGAAAGACGGUCUUGCUGUCACUUAUAGAUGGAUCCGCGCCGCAUUAGCUAGUUGGUAAGGUAACGGCUUACCAAGGCAACGAUGCGUAGCCGACCUGAGAGGGUGAUCGGCCACACUGGAACUGAGACACGGUCCAGACUCCUACGGGAGGCAGCAGUAGGGAAUCUUCCGCAAUGGGCGAAAGCCUUACGGAGCAACGCCGCGUGAGUGAAGAAGGUCUUCGGAUCGUAAAACUCUGUUAUUAGGGAAGAACAAAUGUGUAAGUAACUAUGCACGUCUUGACGGUACCUAAUCAGAAAGCCACGGCUAACUACGUG